AAUGGCAAUGAAUGGCUGAAUAGUUGUGCCUUUAACUUUAAAAAAAUAAAUCAACAGGGAAAUUGUUUUUGACGUUUUCGAUGUGAAGGUUCGAUUUGAGUGCUGAUUGAUGCUUAAAUUAUGAUUAUUUUACCUGAUUUCCUGGCAUGUUUGGAGAAAAACACUAUAUAUGCCUCGGCAGGAACAGCAAUUCGUGGAUUCGUCUUCUUUGUCGAAGCUUAUCCGCGAAUUGAAUUGCCCUUUCCCGGCCUCUGCAUUAAUGUACUAUUAAACUCCCUUAUUAUGCAACGUUAGACACAAAACUGUAACCAAUAGUGAAUAAUGAUGUACAAUUUAAUUACGUCUGCUGAUUUUUCAAUUAUAUAAAUAUUUUUAGAGAAAUCGAUACUGUUCAACUUCGUCCGUAGGCCCGGCGCGCGGUUGACUGCGCGGGCGAUGAGGGGCAGUCGCAGCUUGACCGUCGGACGGGAAACCCGUGUCACUCGACGCGACGCGUGCGCAGUUAUUCUCUGUGAAUUGAUCAUCUGAUUUUAACUUUUGAGUGAUAGGGCACUGUUCAUUUAAGCUUAAAAAUAAUGCCUCGAUCAUUCAAAAAAACGAUUAGUGUCCGGAGCAUAUCGGAACUACUAUGAAAAAGUUUUAAACCUGUGACAGAAGAGGUUGAAGCCAGGCUGUCGAUACGCCAAGCAUCCGAACAUCAUGGUGUUGUCGAUUACAUAUUGUUGGUAAAGUUGGACAGCCUUUCAAAAGGGUACCGCCAAGUCCGCCAACGCCAUGGCCGGGGGGCCUAGUGGUCAGCGUAAACUCGAGACGUCGAUUCUGACUCCGGCUGCGGGAGGGCUUGGUAUCUUAAGUCAUUUUUUAAUUCUAUCACUUCAUCUUUCUCACUCUUUCUUACUUAGCAGUGCCGCGGCCAGAAGGGCCGGUGGGGCCAAACAGUAAAGACAUGAUAAAAAAAAGGAGGGAUUGGUCACGUUUUCAAAAAAUCUUUUUAGUUUAAGAUUAGAGUUAUGUAGUUAAGUUUGUAAAAGUGCAUGUUUUUUAAUGAAAUAAACAGAUUAAAAUACAAAAUUUUAAUUUUUUUUUAGUAGGGAAGGUGAAUUAAUAUAUUUCGUUUAUUUAUUUGUUGGGAUCAUAAAUAUACAUGGAUCUAUUUGUCAAUAGAAUUAAAUAUAGGUAUAUUUUAGUGAUAUUGCCAAUUUACUAAAAAUUUUUUCUAGUAUAGGUACGUAUUGAAUUUAGUCGUAUCAAUACUUUAAUUAAAAGUAUAGGUACUGUAGGUAGAGGUACAUUAAUGUUGUGAUACGUCACUUUAACCCAAGUUAAUAAUUGACGCCAUUUUGUGCCGAGCCGAACUGAGCUAUCAUUGUUUGCACAGAAAUAUUGACUUAUUUUAAUUGGUUCUGGCCAUGAAUAAUAAUUACGUGCCGAACAAUGUUACCCUCGCCAACUAUUCAGAAAAAUCAAUUCAAUUAACAAUGUCGUAGCUGGCAAAUGUUUACUGAAGAUUUGUGUAUGUUACAGUAAAAUCCGUUUUUAAUGAAAACGCGUUUUUUCUACUUAAAAAGAAAACGCGUAUUCACUAGUUAGAACUAAUUUUCCCGUCAGGCCUCGGUGAAAACCAGUUUUUAGAGGAAACAUUUUUGGUAUUUUUCCAUAAAAACGUUCUCAACAUUUUCCACUCUGGAUUUUGGCCCUAGAUGAAUAAGCAUUUUAUAUAGGCUCAAUAUUGCCAGUACCUGUGACUGUACGUUUUGCUUUUUAUGAUAUUGUUAUUUUUAUAAGAACUACUUCAAACAGCGCUAAAAACGGCUAAAUAAAAUGCGCCGUAAACAGAUGUAUACAAAAAUAGGCAUAGGCAACAUCAAAAAUAGGCAUAAAAGCAAAGAUCAAAAUGGUCAGACACAGAUCAUUUCUUUCUCAUUCUGUUCCUUUAUAACUUCGUUACAAUUGGUUUAAUUUUGGAGGAUAAAGUCGAAAACUAAAUCUCGAUUUCUGAGAUUUUUACGUAGGAUUUUUGGAUGGAGCUGCAGUUGCCCUUAUCGCACAUUUUGAGGCUCCGUCUGCAUUUAUAAACUAAAAAUUAAUAUGAAAAGGGGCUUAACUAAUAAUUUAAAACUAGUUUCCGGAAAGUGGCUUGGUGAAAAGUAGUUUUCAUAUUAAUUUCAGUUAAAACUAGUUAAGACGACAAAGUGGAGGACCCGCGCAAAAUCGCCUAUUCAUACAAACGUAGUCCCCGUUUUCCUCUCUGGAUAUUAACAUUUUUGAAAUUAUUUUGACACAAUUAGUUGUAUAACCACCACAGCUAUGCCCCUACGUUGGAUUUUUUUUAUUAAAAGAGUUAGGAGCAUUUAAAAAAUGGUAUGAAAUCUGUUUUACGCCCCUAAUUUUUAAAAUAAUUGAAAAAGUCAAACGAAGGGGCAUAGCUAUGGUUAAUAUACAUCAAAUUAUGUAAAAAUAUUUUCCAUAAUAUCAAUAUCCAGACAGGAAAAUGAGGACGAAGUACGUUUGUAUCUGAAGCGGCCGUCUCCUUUCCUUUUAACCUAAAUCAUAAUGCCUUUAUUUGUAUUAAAUAUAAAAACAAUUUUAACUCAAAAUGUCUAAAUAUCAAACUGAUACCUUUGUAUAAAAUGGCCUAAAGUCAUAAUUACUUUUAAAAUAUCAUAAAAUUGUCAUAAAAUUGACCCUGCUAGUAAUACUAAUAAAGGCAAGAGGCGAGAACUUUUACCAUCAAAAUCGGGUGAAAAAUAAUUAGCGGCAUAUGAAACUUUUAUUCAAUUGAAAAUCAGAAAAAACGCCCACGACGCAAAUGUCUUUCUUGGAAAACGUGUUGGUAGCUUACUUCAAUGAACUGGCGAAUAAGUGCCUACAAGGCCAGCACGCCUUGGUGCAAUUAUUCGAGGUUAAAACUGUAAGCCACCAUUUUGAAAAUUGUACUUUUACUGUUUUGAAAAAAAAAAACGUAUUUAUAAGUUUUGUUUUUUCCUCGCAAGUGUGUUGAAAAACGUCGUAUGAUACGCGUGUGCAUUGGUCAUUACCCACAUCGGCUUUCUUAUUGCGCGCUCGCUUACAGCUCGCGCGCACAAUAUCGCCUCGUGUGUAAAGACCAACUUAGCGCACUUGUACCAUAAUGUAAUAUUAAACGGCUGUUAAAUUAAUCAAAUUAAAUAAUAUUAAACAUAAAAAAAAUCAAUUAUAAACGUCAACAACGUAUUUUAAAAGUAAAACUCAUUUAUGCUACUUGGUUUGAACUGCAAUGAUAAAAAAAGGCUAUAACACCCUUGGGAGUUAUAACUUUUCUUUCACAAUCCAUAACUCACGCGGGAACAAUAUAGGCCUUUGUCCUUCAGUACACCUGCAUGAAAUAAGAUCUUUUUCGAGCAAGUGUGAUGAAAGUGUUAAAAAGUAUGUUUCAUCAAAUGGAUUACCCAUGGGACUUCUAUAUUAUAGAGCGUAUUAUUUUUUUAAAUUUCAAGGGAGUGUUUUAAAUGGACACGAGUUGCGAAUUACCUAUUCGCACAUGUAUCGUACAACGUUUUACAGUACAUAUGACCCUUUAAAUUUUCGACAUAGUUACAUAAUGUGCGGAAAAGUAGCACCAUAUGUACUGUAAACGAUAAUAUAGGAUAAUGUAGCAUUCAUUAAUACAGGUAAUUUUUAGAUUUAGGUAUUGUGAUACCACGUCGUUUUACAGUUUAACAGAUAUGGCUUUGUGGGAAAAAUAGGCAUAGUUAUUGGAAUUCAGGUAUAUUGAUACAAUUCCAUUCUAGAAUCUAGGAAUUUUAGCGACCGAGUAAAACGUUUUGAUAAAUGAAACAAACGCAUGCAAAUUUGUAGGUGUAAACGACCCUAUAAUAUAUCUCAUUAUGGAUUGAUAAAAGAAGUUGAGAUGUGACUCACCGAUUAGAUUUAUUGCGAUUAAUAGCGCUCUUAAUUAAAAAAGGGUUGUUUACAAAAUGAUAGCAUUUUCUUGCAGUAAAUACAUAGGUACACAAUGUUUUUGUUAUGUUAUAUCUGACCCCUAUCUGGCAGGUAAUGUGGUCAUACUGAACAACUUUUACCAUGGAGCUAAUCAAGAAAACACAAACAAAACCUGUAUAUAGGUUUAUAUGCGUUACAACAUCACUUUAUUAUGUUGAUUAGUUAGUAUUUUAAAACUGAGAAACUUAAAAAUAUCAGCAAUGGUCCAAAUCAAACUAACUACCGCUGCUAAAUCGAGUGACAGAGAAAAAGUGCACAGAGUUCGCUGCCGCAUGGUAAUUAAAUUAAAUUUCUGUUAGUUCUAGUCAGAGCUCUGCCAAAGUGAAUUUGGUUUAUUUGCUACUGCUACCAAUGAGUUGGGCGGCUAAAGCAGAUUGAACGUACCUACGUAUAACUUACUAAGGACGUAUAACUAAGGAAAUAAAUAUUUAUCAUUUUUCAUUUUCAUUUUUAAAAGAAUACCUAUUCAUAUAAAAAUAUAACUCAUUUUCGCUGACGUGUAUAAAAUAAUUGAUGCACUUUGUUUUAAAGGUGUGUUAUGAGUGUAAUAUAAAAAUAAGGCGAUCAAAUGGCUACAUCUACAACGUGGCACAUAUAAAAAUGUAGGGAGAUGAAUAGCUGUAUUAACUUUUUUGCAUCAACAAUGCAAUGGUUUCCGCGCAGCCUAAACUCGGCCAGUGAAGCGUCGCGCAAUCAAGGCGCGUAUAACUUCGCAAUCAGAAGCACCCACAUUGUUGCACCUCCAACGCACAUUGUGGCACCUGCGACUGGCUCCCAUUUCUCUUGUUCGCUACAGCGGCUGCACGCUGCCGUGUCUUUUCACUGCAAUUGUAUUGCGCGUCAUUGUCUAGUUUCAUUUAUUCUCCCCUAUACAAGCUCACACGACAGCUUUCUCUUUUCCAACUUUAUUCGUAAACAAGUUUGCUUUCAUUGUGAUGAUUGAAUUAGGUUAUGGUUCUUUGGGUAGGUACUUUCAAAGUGUGGUUUAGCGAAACUAGUCCACGCUGGACGUAACAUAAAUAUCUGGAGGCACACAAACAAAGAAGCGCUACAGCCGUAACCUCUCUCUCUCAAAGCCAUUCAGGGGUAUUUAGACCCCUUCUAACUUCAUUAUGAAUAAAACUAUAAGCCUGAAUUAUCAGUGACUACUGUCUUGUGUACUCGAAGUUAAAAUUUUCGAUCAUAAUAACCGUUUAGCCCAUAAAGCAUUAGAAAAAUCUACCAUACAUAGGUAUGUAUGUUAAUUGAGGUCAAUUUCAGAACCGUUUUCUAUCUUACAAAACGCAUAAGUAAGUUUCUAAUAAUUAGAAACUUACAUAUGCGUUUUGUAAGGUACAAUUAUUGUACCUAUGUAAUUUUGCGAAAUAACAGUUACUAGUGCGAUCGUUACAUUACACUCAUUACCUUCUUACUUACCUAUAUAAGUAACGUACCUAAUUGGCUGCUGCGACGACCCAAAAUCAGUCGUGGCCUCCAAUACAAGAGCACGUCCGUCACACUAAUUUUAUUAUUACAUAUAUUGCCAAUAUUGUAGGUAGUAAGUCACAGACAAACUGAAUGGGGGGGGGGGGGGGGGGCUCACCAUGGUCUAACUGGCGUGUGAAGGCUUCGCGUCAGCUCCCCACCAACACGCCGCCGUUUCCAUUGCAAAAGAAGCAAAUAUGUAGCCAGGGCAAAGAGGAGUAUAUUUUUACCGCUUUAAAGCUGCUUGUGUUUCGGUUGCCUUUCCGGCCACGCGCAAGGUACGGCUGAUAUGAGAGGCGAAGGUGUUGACGCAUGAAGCUUCAAUUUCAUUGAUCAAUAUUAGGUAACAACUUAUAAUAUGAUAGGAUGUGGUACCUACUGACUUAAUAAAGAGACUUUGUUUUACAUUACAUCUCGCAUUUUUUGCAUAACAUACAGUUGCAUACAAUAAAUAUAAUUAAUACUGCUUUAUAUAAAAUCCAUAUGACAUUUUAUGACUUGUAUUUUGCACAGAUCGAUGUGAUUUUAUGUUAAUUAUGAUUUUUGGUAACAAAAUACUACCAGUUGUCAUAUUGUCAAUGAUACGACACCGCCAUAAGGAUUUUAAAAUCCUCAAAACAAGAUGUAAUUUGAAAAUUCGGAGUUAUGGUAGGUAAGUAAAUUCAAAAAUAUGCUUGUGUGUGUGUUAUUUUUACAGUAUCUUAUAGUUAUGGUAAAACUGGUAGGUAUUGAAGAUUAGCCGAUCUAAGACCAAGAUUAUGAUGCGUUAAUGACAACUCGCCGGAGGUUACACAGAUUGCGUACUGCGGCAUGGUACAAGCCUACGUAUAUCUUGGGGCCUUAAUCUCGAGCUAUGGUAGUUGCGUAGAUGAAGUAAAGCGUCGUAUGGUCGUAACCAAAACGGCGGUAGAGAAAUUAAAGAAAUUGUGGAGAAAUCGCAACACCACCAAAGUCAAGCUCAUGCGAACACUGAUAUUCCCAAUCUUCCUUUAUGCGGCAGAGACGUGGACAGUGCGUGAGUUGGAAAAGAGGAAGAUAGAUGCUCUAGAGAUGUAGUGAUGGAGAAAGAUGCUCGGCAUAUCCUGGACAGAGUUCUGCACCAACAUGUUCAUACUCCAGGAACUCGGCAUCACAAAACGUCUAUCGAUCAUAGUACAGAUGCCCAUACUGCAGUACUUUGGUCAUGUCUCUAGGCGUCAUAAUAACUCCAUAGAACGGCUGGUCGUGCAAGGAAAAGUACAGGGAACCAGAUCACGUGGCAGGCCACAUAUGCGCUGGACUGAUCAGGUGAAAUCCGCAGUGGGAAACCGCAUAUCAGACUGUGCCAGACAGUCUGCAAACAGAGAAAGAUGGCGGGAGAUCGUAACGAAAGCUGAAUCCGCCUCUAACACAAACAUCAACGCCUCAGCGUGACCACGACCGCUCUGUCAAGAGCGAAACGACUGAGAAGAAAGAAGGUAGAUAUUAAUAUAUUUUUCACCACACCAGCUCAUAGGAGCCUCUCUUUAUUCAUCAAUAACUGAUGAGAAUUGUACAUUAUUGCAGAGGCUGGAUGAGUUUCAAUUUUGUCGGAUGACUCAAAGACGAAUCCACAAACUGCUGUUCCUGCCGAGGCAUAUAUAGUACUUAGAAUAGAUUUAAAAGUGGAAAAAUUACUGUCUUGGGCGAGACUUGAACUCGGAAUGCAAUCUCAGAUAGCAGAGCGCUGGAGUAUCGAUCCAGAUACGACUUUGCCACUCUUGUGGAUAGAAUGCAACUUACUCCAAUAUGCUCGGACAUGUUCACCUUAUUGUAGCAAAAAUAGUAUGGGCAGUUCUUCUUUAUGGUAAAACUCCAAUAAAAAAAAAAACAACUGCAUGAUUGUCAAGCCGUUAGGUUUCAAGGCACAUUUCUAUAUUUCUAUCCUAUUUAGUUUUUUUUAAUAAUUAUCUGGUGCUUUAUUUCAUGCAUGGUGUGAAAUAAUUUAUCUUAAAUACAGUCGAAUACCCUUACUAGUCAAUUAUAGGGCAAAUCUGAAAUGUGUCAAGGUGGGUGCAGUGGCAAAAAAAAUGUUACCUCCUUUUCUACAUAAUUAGGCGUAGGACGCUGUCUUUUUAAUUACAUUUUAUGAAAUCUAAAAUUAACAAUAAUCGUUCUUUCACCGGUCUCCCUCAUUGAAGUCGGUUUUUUUUUUCUUAAAAAUUAUUGUCGAUGCGUUGGUAGUUUCUUGCAAGUUUGACCCGAACAUAUAUACAUAGGUAUAUACAUAUACAUACAUUGCAAGUUAAAUAAAGGCUUGUGAAAACAAUUCGCUUUUAUGUACAUAGAAUUUCGAGAGCAAACAAUGCCAACAAUAAAACAUGCAUCGCUCAAAUAUGACACACUGAGUUUUAGCGACUACCUAUAAUACAAUUAUACGAGUAUUUAUUAUGUAGAUAGUAACUUAAAAAGUAUUAUAACAUUAUGCCACAUUAGGGAUAAUUUGUUUGAAAUAUUGGUGUCAUUUUACCGUCGUAGGUACCUAAUAUGAAAGUGCCAACGGUCAUCUAUCAUUCGAUAUAAUGUGACAUAUCUGGAUCCACAAUUUGAUUUUUAACGGUCACAUUGGUACAGGAUUGAGAGAAUUAUUCUGAAAUGAAAAAUAAUGUUACGUAAAAAAGUACUCAAUCUAAAAACCAGCAAUAUUUUUUAUAUCGAUAAUUUGUACUACCCGUAAAAAAACAAAAACCUUUGGUCAGUUCGUCGAAAACACAAAAUACUCUCAUAAAUUGUUUUUCUAGCAGUAUUUCUUCUAAUAAUAAUAAAAAAAUAUCUUCAUUAUCUAGUAGCUUAUGCCCGCGACUGCGUCCGCGUGAAAUGAUAAUGGUGAUUGAUAAAAACUACCUUAUGUUCUUCCCCGGGCCUCAAACUAUCUCCAUACCACAUUUCAUCUAAAUCGAUUCAGCGGUUUCAGUGAGAUGUGACUGAUUGAGAAAAAUACAGACUUUUCUUUCACAUUUAUAAUAUUAUAAAGUAGGAAUAGGAAUAGCAGGUACGGUAUUCCCUUAUUUUGCCGACAAACUUUUCAUCGACAACGAUUUAUUGAAAUUUUAGUUCUAGUAAUAAUAUAGUCUAGCAUUAUUUUGUUUCAACAACUAUUUAUAUAAAUUUUUCUUACUUCUUUGUAUUCAACGAAUAUUACUUGAUCGCUGAUUCGUUUCAGAGUACCUAUUUUUAUUGGCAGAACUAAUAAACAUUGUAAUACAUUUGUUCGACGUAUAAAUAUAAAACUUUUUUACAUGUGGUACUACACAUUUUUAUUCUGUUCUAAUUAUUUUCAAAUGAUCUAUUUUAUCAUGUCAUACAAAUAUAAUAAAACUAAGAAUCAUCUGUGUAAAUCGUUUUUUAGAAACAAAAGGCGAUUCUUUCCAAACUUCCCUCGUACGGGCUCCCUGAAGGACUAUGCACAUGGGUCGCCAAUUUUCUAUCUGGGCGUAGCAUUGCAGUUAUCAUCGACGGACAAUGCUCAGAUCUCCGGCCCAUUAACGCCGGCGUACCCCAAGGAUCUGCACUGUCACCUACUCUGUUCAUCCUUCAUGUCAAUGAUAUGCUGUCGACUAGCAAUAUCUAUUGCUAUGCAGAUGACAGCACGCGGGUGGUAGCUUCUACACAGGUCGUGCAAAUGCCCCUCGUGAGCAGGUAUUGGAAUGCAGAAUGCAACUUGUGUCCGAAAUCGAGGCCUCUCUUGAGCAGGUAUCCGAGUGGGGUAAAAGUUUGCGCGUUUUCCGCUAAGAAAACCUCAUUUGUUUUAGCGCUAAUAUUUCAGAACAUGCCACUUACCAUCUCCAUGAGUAUCGGGAUACUCGGUGUCGACAUUACGAACGAAGUUCAGUUUCGGGGUCAUUUGGAACUCAAAGCCAAACUGGCCUCCAAGAAGCUCGGGGUGCUCAAUAGAGCGAAACAGUGCUUCACACCAGGUUUUCGUUAUACAAAGCGCAGGCUCGACCUAUUAUAGAGAACUGUUCUUAUCUCGGGUCUGGAGCACCGAAAUACCAACUUCUUCCACUUAACUCCAUCCAACGUCGGGCAGUUCGUUUAAUAAAAUAGGUAGGAAUAAUACAAACGUAUGUGUGAUAUUGUGUUCUUAUUUAAUUUUGCUUAGAAAUAUUAUUUUGUACUUUAAUCGGAAUCGACGGGGCACAGAAUUUCGUCAUGUAUUUAUCAUUUUAGGUAUUUGCUGUUAACUUAGAACUUGACUACGUCUCGUUUUGUUAUUUCGGGCUUUCAGUUUUAAAAACACUUAUUGUGUAGGUAAAAACAAGCGAGGGUUUUCAGAACAUGUUGGUAAAAACACGAAACCUUAGGGGAUUUCCGUCUUGUAUGAAUGUCCCGUUAAUACAAAGUUGUGGUCAUCUAUGUGCGCAAGCUCAUCAAUCACGCUGAUAUUGCGUGACACGUCAACUCGUGAUGACGGGAACCGUCACUUCUGUUUAUAUGCUUAUCGGGAUUACAUGCAUUUUGAUGGGUAAAAUGUGAAAAAGAUUGUAAAGACGUGGUUUAAAAUAUGGAAACUGAAUGUAUCGAUGAGAUCUAGUAAGAGGACCGUUCUAUUUAUGGCUACGCCAGCUCUAUCCAUAAACGUAUAUAAUUAUAGAGGAUGUUUAUUUAGUCACCUGCAAUAAUUUACGGGGUGAAUAUAUAGGUCAUACUGAGCAACUUUUCCUAUGGGACCAACCCGGAUAACGCGAAAAAAAAUUUACUCUCCCAUAGAUACUGACAUAAAUGUACUAGACAGGCUAUUGAGAACAAAUUGUGUCCGCCAUUUUCGGUGUUUGACGUUUGUCACUAAGCUAAAGAACAAGCAUGUGUAGCUAGCCAGAGGCGAAACUGUUAUGACAACUGUUAAUUUUCUGCCCACACUGUAAAGAAUCUAGAUAUUCUAGAUAAAAUUAUUUUAUUUCCUUACAAGUGUAUUGAAAUUGUUUUACAUAUAUGACACGGACGACAUGAAAAUUUAUAAAAAUAGUCAUAAAACUCGUUCUAUUUGACUCUGGUACUCGAAGCAAUUAUAAUCUAAUCGCGUUUGUAGCAUAAUAUAUUCUUUAAAUAUGAGAAAAACACUACAAACAAAUACAAGAAAAAGAGUAAUAUAUCAUUAUUUUGUAUAUAUUCUGCAAACAAUAAGGUAGGUAAUCAUUAGUACCUACGUAUUACAUCUGCGAAAUGUAAUCUAUGCGCCAAAGAAAAUGGCGUCCCACCGCAAGUGUAUAAAGUGACGUUUAAAAAUAAUCUAAAUGAGCUUAAAACAAGAGUUUUUUCGUAGUGGAGUGUUAUGUUUCUUGAUAUUAUUAGAAUACAUUUUCAUAACGCACAAAGGCAUUUUUUUUGUCACAUGUGUGGAAUCUCGACAGUAGUCGGAGACGUACUUAAUGGAAUUAAGUGCCGGCACUUCAUUGAGGUGCGGAAACAUUUUCUUAGAUAUGCCGACUCUAGUACUUAUACCUCAAUGCCCAUAGAAAAUGUCAAGGUCAGACAACCAAAAUGUAUGAAAAAGCCAUUUUUUUUUCGUGAUUUCGGGGUUGGUCUUAUAGCAAAAGUUGCUCAGUAUUAUUGCUGGUGACUAAAUAAGCACUCUGUAUAUAUGAAACAUAAUUAUAACUAUAAGUGUAAUGUAAUGUAAGUAAAAUGUAAAUAUAGCAAUCGUUGGUAAUACAAUUUUAUAAUUAGGUAGCUUUGUUUUGAUAUUUUGUAAUUGUUAAUUAUAUCAACUGCGACGUCGUAACGUAACCCGUAUCGUUGUUUUGCAGCUAUUGAAGCGAAAACUCUUCGCACUGGCAGCGGCCUCAUGCACAAAUGAAGUGAAAGAAUAUAUCUUCUUUGUCUAAGUGCCUACUUAUACUGUCAGCGUCAUAGACAAAAAAAUGGCCUUUCAUUAUACCGGGUGUGGCCUGUAACACGAGCAAUAAAUUUAACUGUAGGCUGUACUCCUCAAACUUACCAACAUUUGGUCAGCGAUUUUUGGAAAUUAUGAAUACUUUAGACUUCCUAUUUUUCAUACAAAUUAAAUAUUACCUUCAAUGUACGCUGUCAUCAGUGUAAUUGACGUCUAUUGUCACGCUUUAAACAUUGUACAAACAUUCGCAAUACAUUACGCAAUGUAUCUAUUACGAAUUUUAGAAUAAACUUUAAAGUGUUCAAAAAAUCAAAAUAAAAGUUAUUUUUAAAAGUUGCUGAACAAAUGUUGGUCAGUUUGAGGAGUACAGCCUACAGUUUGAUUUUUUGCUCCUGUUA
Molecule: long non-coding RNA, 11694 nt
Organism: Cydia pomonella (codling moth)
Lineage: Eukaryota; Metazoa; Arthropoda; Insecta; Lepidoptera; Tortricidae
Exons: 2
Source: RefSeq, a predicted model, not a curated record